This 549-nucleotide ribosomal RNA is filed under the name Microbacterium sp. RNAcentral describes it as "bacterial SSU rRNA". It matches the Rfam family "Bacterial small subunit ribosomal RNA", at positions 242 to 803 of the family's 1533-position model. Lineage: Bacteria; Bacillati; Actinomycetota; Actinomycetes; Micrococcales; Microbacteriaceae. The record is from RNAcentral.
CAGCUUGUUGGUGAGGUAAUGGCUCACCAAGGCGUCGACGGGUAGCCGGCCUGAGAGGGUGACCGGCCACACUGGGACUGAGACACGGCCCAGACUCCUACGGGAGGCAGCAGUGGGGAAUAUUGCACAAUGGGCGAAAGCCUGAUGCAGCAACGCCGCGUGAGGGAUGACGGCCUUCGGGUUGUAAACCUCUUUUAGCAGGGAAGAAGCGAAAGUGACGGUACCUGCAGAAAAAGCACCGGCUAACUACGUGCCAGCAGCCGCGGUAAUACGUAGGGUGCAAGCGUUAUCCGGAAUUAUUGGGCGUAAAGAGCUCGUAGGCGGUUUGUCGCGUCUGCUGUGAAAUCCGGAGGCUCAACCUCCGGCCUGCAGUGGGUACGGGCAGACUAGAGUGCGGUAGGGGAGAUUGGAAUUCCUGGUGUAGCGGUGGAAUGCGCAGAUAUCAGGAGGAACACCGAUGGCGAAGGCAGAUCUCUGGGCCGUUACUGACGCUGAGGAGCGAAAGGGUGGGGAGCAAACAGGCUUAGAUACCCUGGUAGUCCACCCCGU